CCAUGGGAGUGGGUUGCAAAAGAAGUAGGUAGCUUAACCUUCGGGAGGGCGCUUACCACUUUGUGAUUCAUGACUGGGGUGAAGUCGUAACAAGGUAACCGUAGGGGAACCUGCGGUUGGAUCACCUCCUUACCUUAAAGAAGC
Molecule: ribosomal RNA, 144 nt
Filed under: Escherichia coli
Lineage: Bacteria; Pseudomonadati; Pseudomonadota; Gammaproteobacteria; Enterobacterales; Enterobacteriaceae
Also listed under: 8 other names
Description: partial 16S ribosomal RNA
Rfam family: Bacterial small subunit ribosomal RNA
Source: RNAcentral